Molecule: ribosomal RNA, 415 nt
Filed under: uncultured microorganism
Description: bacterial SSU rRNA
Rfam family: Archaeal small subunit ribosomal RNA
Source: RNAcentral
GCGCACCAGUCGCGAAACUUCACAAUGUGCGAAAGCACGAUGAGGGAAUCCCAAGUGCUUGCACGUAAGUGUAAGCUGUUUCUCUGUCUAAAACGCAGAGAGAGUAAGGGCUGGGUAAGACGGGUGCCAGCCGCCGCGGUAAUACCUGCAGCUCAAGUGGUGACCGUUAUUAUUGGGGCCUAAAACGUCCGUAGCCGGUUUAAUAAAUGCCUGGGUAAAUCGUGUAGCUUAACUAUACGAAUUCCGGGUAGACUGUUAAACUCGAGACCGGGAGAAGUUAGAGGUACUCCUGGGGUAGAGGUGAAAUUCUGUAAUCCUAGGGGGACCACCAGUGGCGAAGGCGUCUAACUAGAACGGGUCUGACGGUGAGGGACGAAGCCCUGGGGCGCAAACGGGGAUUAGAUACCCCUGUAGU